CCUACGGGCGGCAGCAGUGGGGAAUCUUCCGCAAUGGGCGAAAGCCUGACGGAGCAACGCCGCGUGAUCGCAUGAAGGCCUUCGGGUUGAAAAGAUCUGUUGACAGGGACGAAUAAGAAAUGAGAAUAGUUUUGUGUAUGACGGUACCUGUUUAGAAAGCUCCGGCUAACUACGGGCAAGCAGCCGCGGUAAUACGUAGGGAGGAAUAGUUGUCCGGAAUUACUGGGCGUAACGGGCGCGUAGGUGGGCGCUUAAGUCAGGAGUGAAAACUCCGGGCUCAACCUGGAGACUGCACUUGAAACUGGGUGUCUUGAGGGCAGGAGAGGAAAGUGGAAUUCCUAGUGUAGCGGUGAAAUGCGUAGAUAUUAGGAGGAACACCAGUGGCGAAGGCGACUUUCUGGACUGUACCUGACGCUGAGGCGCGAAAGCGUGGGUAGCGAACGGGAUUAGAUACCCGGGUAGUC
Molecule: ribosomal RNA, 464 nt
Filed under: uncultured bacterium
Lineage: Bacteria
Description: partial 16S ribosomal RNA
Rfam family: Bacterial small subunit ribosomal RNA
Source: RNAcentral